GAUGAACGCUGGCGGCGUGCCUAAUACAUGCAAGUCGAGCGAACAGACGAGGAGCUUGCUCCUCUGACGUUAGCGGCGGACGGGUGAGUAACACGUGGAUAACCUACCUAUAAGACUGGGAUAACCUCGGGAAACCGGAGCUAAUACCGGAUAAUAUAUUGAACCGCAUGGUUCAAUAGUGAAAGACGGUUUUGCUGUCACUUAUAGAUGGAUCCGCGCCGCAUUAGCUAGUUGGUAAGGUAACGGCUUACCAAGGCAACGAUGCGUAGCCGACCUGAGAGGGUGAUCGGCCACACUGGAACUGAGACACGGCCCAGACUCCUACGGGAGGCAGCAGUAGGGAAUCUUCCGCAAUGGGCGAAAGCCUGACGGAGCAACGCCGCGUGAGUGAUGAAGGUCUUCGGAUCGUAAAACUCUGUUAUUAGGGAAGAACAAAUGUGUAAGUAACUAUGCACGUCUUGACGGUACCUAAUCAGAAAGCCACGGCUAACUACGUG
RNAcentral lists this ribosomal RNA (497 nucleotides) under uncultured bacterium. RNAcentral's name for it is "partial 16S ribosomal RNA". It matches the Rfam family "Bacterial small subunit ribosomal RNA", at positions 28 to 507 of the family's 1533-position model. The record is from RNAcentral.